GACCUUCGGGUCUAGUGGCGCACGGGUGCGUAACGCGUGGGAAUCUGCCCUUGGGUUCGGGAUAACAGUUGGAAACGACUGCUAAUACCGGAUGAUGUCUUCGGACCAAAGAUUUAUCGCCCAGGGAUGAGCCCGCGUCGGAUUAGCUAGUUGGUGAGGUAAGAGCUCACCAAGGCGACGAUCCGUAGCUGGUCUGAGAGGAUGAUCAGCCACACUGGGACUGAGACACGGCCCAGACUCCUACGGGAGGCAGCAGUGGGGAAUAUUGGACAAUGGGCGAAAGCCUGAUCCAGCAAUGCCGCGUGAGUGAUGAAGGCCUUAGGG
RNAcentral lists this ribosomal RNA (324 nucleotides) under uncultured bacterium. RNAcentral's name for it is "bacterial SSU rRNA". It matches the Rfam family "Bacterial small subunit ribosomal RNA", at positions 72 to 422 of the family's 1533-position model. The record is from RNAcentral.